Molecule: ribosomal RNA, 498 nt
Filed under: Bacillus sp. CH171b_5R
Lineage: Bacteria; Bacillati; Bacillota; Bacilli; Caryophanales; Bacillaceae
Description: partial 16S ribosomal RNA
Rfam family: Bacterial small subunit ribosomal RNA
Source: RNAcentral
GGGAAUAACUCCGGGAAACCGGGGCUAAUACCGAAAAAAAUUGGAACCGCCAGGGUUUUGGUUUAAAAGGCGGCUCCGGCUGUCACUGCAGGAUGGGCCCCCGGCCCAUUACCUAGUUGGGGGGGUACCGGCUCACCAAGGCAACAAUCCGUACCCAACCUGAGAGGGUGAUCGGCCACCCGGGAACGGAAACACGGCCCAAACCCCAACGGGAGGCACCAUUAGGGAACCUUCCGCAUGGAACAAAGGUCGGACGGACCACCCCCCCGGGAGUGAAAAAGGUUUUCGAAUCGUAAAACUCUUUUGUCAGGAAAAAACAAUUACGGAAGUAACUGCCCGUACCUUGACGGUACCGGGCCAAAAGGCCACGGCUAACUACUUGCCACCACCCGCGGUAAUACGUAGGUGGCAAGCGUUGCCCGGAAUUAUGGGCCGUAAAGCGCGCGCAGGCGGCCUUUUAAUUCUAAGGUGAAACCCCCCGGCUCACCCGGGAAGGGU